RNAcentral lists this ribosomal RNA (468 nucleotides) under uncultured bacterium. RNAcentral's name for it is "partial 16S ribosomal RNA". It matches the Rfam family "Bacterial small subunit ribosomal RNA", at positions 28 to 507 of the family's 1533-position model. The record is from RNAcentral.
GACGAACGCUGGCGGCGUGCUUAACACAUGCAAGUCGAACGGAAAGGCCCUGCUUUUGUGGGGUGCUCGAGUGGCGAACGGGUGAGUAACACGUGAGUAACCUGCCCUUGACUUUGGGAUAACUUCAGGAAACUGGGGCUAAUACCGGAUAGGAGCUCCUGCUGCAUGGUGGGGGUUGGAAAGUUUCGGCGGUUGGGGAUGGACUCGCGGCUUAUCAGCUUGUUGGUGGGGUAGUGGCUUACCAAGGCUUUGACGGGUAGCCGGCCUGAGAGGGUGACCGGCCACAUUGGGACUGAGAUACGGCCCAGAGUCCUACGGGAGGCAGCAGUGGGGAAUAUUGCACAAUGGGCGGAAGCCUGAUGCAGCAACGCCGCGUGCGUGAUGACGGCCUUCGGGUUGUAAACCGCUUUCGCCUGUGACGAAGCGUGAGUGACGGUAAUGGGUAAAGAAGCACCGGCUAACUACGUG